GCAAUUCAUAUAUUUCUCUCUCAAAUCUUGCAGUCUGGAAUAUUAUUUGUCAUCAUGAAAGUUGUUCUGCUUUUUUCGUCUCUUCUACAUAGAUAAAAGGGUCUACGAAAGACAACCUCACUUUCUCAAUCAGAGAACUUUGAGAAUUAUGAAGUUUCCUUCAAAUUAUGUCCAUCACUCAACCUCGAGUACUGACACCUCAAAGCUAUCGGAAAGUCAAGAAAGUAUUUCCUGUUAGGGAUGAAGUCAAGGUCUUUGGCACCUCACUUCGUUUCUUCGUCUACACAUCAGUGAUUGCCCUAAUCUCUAAUCACUUUCCGAAUCAGCACUGCCCUCCUCCCUCUGAGUUGACCAUCGAUGAUUGCCCAUAAGCUCCGAUCCCUUUUAGUAAAAGAGAUGCCCUCUCCCCUCUCUGCACUAUGCUAGAGGUUUAACAAUUUAGAAGCCUUCAAUUCUUUAUUAAUCAAGAUGAACUGGCAGCUUGGCUCCCUUCACAGUGUUUUGUUCUUAAAAGAAUUGUGUGUGAGCCAUGGUUGACGUAAUGAAUUUGAAACUUCUUCACUAGGUCCUAAGUUUAGGAAUCACUUUUUGUAGUCUGAUAAAACCAUGAUAUUUCAUUACUUGUCUAGAGGAAUCAUUCAUGUGCAGCACUAUAUAUAU
Molecule: long non-coding RNA, 660 nt
Organism: Solanum stenotomum
Lineage: Eukaryota; Viridiplantae; Streptophyta; Magnoliopsida; Solanales; Solanaceae
Exons: 3
Source: RefSeq, a predicted model, not a curated record